This 1368-nucleotide long non-coding RNA is filed under the name Fragaria vesca (wild strawberry). RNAcentral describes it as "long non-coding RNA (FVES_LNC004839)". Lineage: Eukaryota; Viridiplantae; Streptophyta; Magnoliopsida; Rosales; Rosaceae. The record is from RNAcentral.
UCUUAUAGUCCAUUUUGUUCGACUGACCUCCAACAAACUUUCCGGCCGACGAUCAGUGAUGAUUCUGGCAACCAAAAGCUAUUACCACCGAUAACAAAAGAUACUACCACUAGCAACAAAAGCUACUACGACCAGCAAAUAAAGCUAUUACCACUGACAACAAAAGAUACUACUGACAACAAUAAAAUCUACUGACACCAGCAAAGAAAGCUACUACCAUUGACAACAAAAGAUACUACUGUCGGUAACAAAAGCUACGACCAGCAAAGAAAGCUACUACCACUGACAACAAAAGAUACUACCGACAACAAUAAAAACUACUGUCACCAGCAAAAGAAAGCUACUACCACUGACAACAAAAGAUACUACUAUCAGUAACAAAAGCUACUUCCACCAACAAUAAAAAAUACUACCACUAGCAACAAAAACUAUUACGGUGAGAUUUCUGACAAAAUCUGGCAAGGUCACAAAAGAUAUUAUCGCUAGCAACAAAAGUUACUACUAAGCAAAACAAAAACUACUACCAAGUAUCACAAAAACUACUAUUACCAGCAACGAAAGCUACUACCAAGCAGAAAAAAAAACUACUACCAAGCAGAAGAAAAGCUACUACCAAGUAGAACACAAGUUAUGAAAGCUAUUUUUAGAGACCUACAAAACUAUGAAAUGUAAACGAUACGACUAAUAAAAAUGUUACUACAAUCAAGAGAAUAUAAUAAAUUCCAUGGUACAAAAAGUAUGAAGCCUUCUACAUUGAUAUAGUCAUGUACAAAGAUUACAUAAAACUACUAAUGUAGUUCCAGAAGUCUACUACAAUAGUUUUAUAAAGCUACUAUCAGUUUUCUAUGGAUGAUACUUAACACUCAUAGGCAUACUUUGUAAUACCCCGGAAAUUUGAUAUUAGUUUCUAAUUUUAUUUAGGAAUUUUUGAGUUAGAAGUUAGUGUGUUUUGAAGUUCGAAGGAAGAGCGGAAGGGUUCGGAUGCGUAAAUUGCCUGAACCGGUUUUAUGGUUCUGAAGGGUCAAGAGUUGACUUUCUAAUCCGUUGGGUUUCUCGAGAAACUUCCUUCACGAAAGUUGUAGAGCACGACGAUACGAGUUCGUAGACACGUGGCACGUGUAAAACGGACUUCGUAUGAGAAAGUUAUGGUCAGCAGAAGUUGUGGCUUUUCGGGAAUAUUUAGGUUAAAUAGGAAAAUUUCGUCUUGGGUUCUCUUAUUUUUCAGAAUUCCUUUUCUUCCCCUUUCUUCUCUCUCCCUGACCCCGAGAGAACCCAAGCUUCCCAGCCGACCCGACCCGGACCCGGUUGACCCGACCCGGAUUUUCCGGCCAUCUUCGGCCGACCCAGGCGACAGCACCGUUCGGAGUC